Molecule: ribosomal RNA, 415 nt
Filed under: Thalassiosira rotula
Lineage: Eukaryota; Bacillariophyta; Thalassiosirophyceae; Thalassiosirales; Thalassiosiraceae
Description: partial Bacterial large subunit ribosomal RNA
Rfam family: Bacterial large subunit ribosomal RNA
Source: RNAcentral
AUGCUGACAUGAGUAGCGUUAAAGGGGGUGAAAAGCCCCCUCGCCGUAAGCGCAAGGUUUCCUACGCAACGUUCAUCGGCGUAGGGUGAGUCGGCCCCUAAGGCGAGGCAGAGAUGCGUAGCUGAUGGGAAACAGGUCAAUAUUCCUGUACCGAUCAAUAGUGCGAUGUGGGGACGGAGAAGGUUAGCUCAGCCAACUGUUGGAUAUGUUGGUUCAAGCCUGUAGUCGUGCCUGGUAGGCAAAUCCGCCGGGCUUAGAUGAGGGGUGAUAACGAGUCUGCUUGCAGACGAAGUGAGUGAUACCCUGCUUCCAGGAAAAGCCACUAAGCUUCAGCUAUUGACGACCGUACCGCAAACCGACACUGGUGCGCGAGAUGAGUAUUCUAAGGCGCUUGAGAGAACUCGGGAGAAGGAAC